AGCGGCGGACGGGUUAGUAACGCGUGGGAACGUGCCCUUCUCUGCGGAAUAGCCACUGGAAACGGUGAGUAAUACCGCAUACGCCCUUCGGGGGAAAGAUUUAUCGGAGAAGGAUCGGCCCGCGUUAGAUUAGAUAGUUGGUGGGGUAAUGGCCUACCAAGUCUACGAUCUAUAGCUGGUUUUAGAGGAUGAUCAGCAACACUGGGACUGAGACACGGCCCAGACUCCUACGGGAGGCAGCAGUGGGGAAUCUUAGACAAUGGGCGCAAGCCUGAUCUAGCCAUGCCGCGUGUGUGAUGAAGGUCUUAGGAUCGUAAAGCACUUUCGCCAGGGAUGAUAAUGACAGUACCUGGUAAAGAAACCCCGGCUAACUCCGUGCCAGCAGCCGCGGUAAUACGGAGGGGGCUAGCGUUGUUCGGAAUUACUGGGCGUAAAGCGCACGUAGGCGGUUUGUUAAGCAAGAUGUGAAAGCCCAGGGCUCAACCUUGGAAUUGCAUUUUGAACUGGCAAGCUAGAGUUUUGAAGAGGGUGGUAGAAUUUCCAGUGUAGCGGUGAAAUGCGUAGAUAUUGGAAGUAAUACCAGUGGCGAA
This 590-nucleotide ribosomal RNA is filed under the name uncultured Alphaproteobacteria bacterium. RNAcentral's name for it is "bacterial SSU rRNA". It matches the Rfam family "Bacterial small subunit ribosomal RNA", at positions 94 to 719 of the family's 1533-position model. The record is from RNAcentral. Lineage: Bacteria; Pseudomonadati; Pseudomonadota; Alphaproteobacteria.